Molecule: long non-coding RNA, 1598 nt
Organism: Photinus pyralis (common eastern firefly)
Lineage: Eukaryota; Metazoa; Arthropoda; Insecta; Coleoptera; Lampyridae
Exons: 5
Source: RefSeq, a predicted model, not a curated record
AGUCUACAAGUUUUCUCGAAAAAUACCUAGUUUUGCCGUUGUUUGACUGUGAAACUCUGUAAGUUACCGUUUGAUGAACAAGAACUAACCUUUAACCAGCCAGAACUCUACAGUUUUUUUUCAAUAAAAUACCCACUUUUCGAGUUUUUCGCGAAUAACCAAUUACCUAAAUCUUUUUUAUGAAAACGUCAUACCUUCGGUCGCCAAUAACUGGAAAAAUAUGAACUUGACCAAAAAAAAUGUAUAGAACACUUUUUUCUUGCUUUUUGCUCAGAAUUAAUUGCUCUAUCUAUUCCCGUGGUCAAACUACAAUAAAAAAAUUUCACCCCCGGGUUAGGGUGGCUACCACCCAGAGCAUAAAAGCACCCUUUGACACGAUAGAGAUGUUGAUCCUUAGACUAUAUUCCGUACCUACUAUCAAAAUUUCAAGUAAAUCAAUUCAUUUUGAACAAAUUUCCGGGGCAAAACCUUCCUUUCCUGAACUAUAGUGAGAAAUUAAAUUUACAUUCUUCAUUUUUUCUCGUAAAUAUUCAUUUACUGAGACCUUUUCCAUCGACAAUAAAUUGGUACGCAAAUUUUAUCCGUAACUCUUUAGCGUCUUAGUUAACUAUUUUGCCCGUUCAGGGUUGUAUGCGAUUACAUUUAAGUAACUUGUAAAAGGUAGUAUACCUACGCAGUAUCUUUGCCCUCUAGGUUCAGUUGUGAUCGAGUUUGAAACGCGAAUGUUGUUGGAGACCACCACUUGUCUCUGAAGGGGUUGGCAAAGUACCUGGUACAGAAGCAGAUUUGGAGUAUAGCGAGGCCCUUCAGGCAUUAAUCAAUUAAUUAUAUACCGAGUCCUGCGACUUUAGAGGUUAUUUAUUUUUGUAAACAGGAAUGGAAAAGUACAAGACACCCAAGCUCUCUAGACCAUUGCCACAUCAGCGUGUCAAGCAUUUGGCAACCAUCCCAGUUAUCGAACUAUCGACAUGGACGGCGUCAACUUCAACAGUGAUAAGUAUUGACCUCGUUGCUAGAAGAAAAACAUAUCCAUCCAAAAACGAGGAAACUACCCCAAACUGCUGCUAAGACCAAAUGUUCUUCGAAUAUGACACAAAGCAACUAUGGGGUUACGCAUUCGAUGCCAAGGUAGCUGAUCAACGCUUAGAUUAUCAGAAAAAUGCAGAAGUCAACUGGGUUUCCGCCAAGACUGGUCUACCACCCCACAUAUGCGCGAAGCCGAAUUCGAGCCAGGGACCCCUAGUACCACUAUCGAUUUUCCACUCAAAUGUGCCAGCGUGCGAGCCACCAUCAUUCCGAAGAAACUUCUGCAAUAUGGAUAAACAAAUAUUUUAUGGCAGUCUCGGGCGAUACCUACAACGACACUAUUCCAAAACUGAUGCGAAAACCGACAAACACAGAGAAACGAGCAACGUAUUCGGAGAAUGCCUUUUUAGAUAGCUGAUCAACUCUGCCAACAAAGCGCAACAUGGAUUUAGAUUGCUACAAAUGGAGUUGUUUCCUUACUGCACCCUUCACUCCACAGAAGAGGAUGAGCCUAAAACAAAAAAUAUAAUGUUACAUACUGCAUUAUAAAUUGUAAUUCAAGAUGAAUGUGA